RNAcentral lists this transfer RNA (93 nucleotides) under Actinomadura cremea. Its description in RNAcentral is "tRNA-Ala". The record is from RNAcentral. Lineage: Bacteria; Bacillati; Actinomycetota; Actinomycetes; Streptosporangiales; Thermomonosporaceae.
CGUCGAGGUAGGCGACGGCCGAGCCGGCGGCCUGGCGGGCCACCCGGCCCGUCUCGAAACGGAUGGUGCGGGUACCGAACGUGCCGUUGUCGA